This is a long non-coding RNA of Pongo pygmaeus (Bornean orangutan), 1139 nucleotides long. RefSeq lists it as uncharacterized. Lineage: Eukaryota; Metazoa; Chordata; Mammalia; Primates; Hominidae. The record is from RefSeq and is a predicted model, not a curated record. The transcript is spliced from 3 exons.
GUGAGUCAGACCUUGGUAGCCUCCUUACUUGCUCCAAUUGCUUCAGAGAGAGAAGUGCGGGUGUGCAGGAUAGUGAAGGAGCAAGGCUCAUGUGAAUAGAAGAAUCCAAGGUAAAGCAGGAAGAGAAAUCCAGCUAGAGAAAGAGGUGGAAGUCAAAAUAAAUAGACUAUUUUUUUAAAUUUUUAAUGGCUUCUUGGUGGCUUCAAGAUAAAAACAAUGAAUUCUUCGGAGGUGAGCACUACAUGUAUAUUUUACCUUUGUUUCUCAGCACAGGAUAGACAAUGAGGAGCUUUGUGUCUGGGAAAAGAAUAAAAGUCAACUGUAGCAAAACCUCUCAGAAGUAGGAUUUAUAAACAGUUCUCAAAGGAUGCACAUGAAAAUGUAAUUUCUUGGGAAAGCGGCAAACAGAAAAGAAUCAAACAAACCUCAGUUGUGUGUGGCAAGGAUAAAUACGCAAUGCAUCAUCAAUAGUAUUUGUUGGGUGAAUAAAAAAGCCUUUUAGCCAACAAUAUGUAAGCAGAAGAAUGGAGCAGGAGUUAGAGAGAAUCCUCAAGCAAUAAUGGAGGCCGCUGGAGAGGCAAGACUGCCAAAGGCUAAGUUAUUGACCCAGUACUUUUAAAACUGCCUCCGAAAAGAAGCCUGAAUGAAAGAAAAUAAUUUGUUCAAUUAGAAUGUAUUUUUCCUUUGUGUUCCUAUCUACUUCCUUCACAAGCUAUUUUUGAUUGAUUUUUCUGAGAACAAAAUAAAUAUCCACAGUGAGUCACAAAUGUAAAUGUAUUGAGUGCCCAGUGUAUGGAGCCCUUUCUCCAAGACCUCGCUGCCGUAACUACAAACACAACUGAGAACUGGUGAUUUGAAGAUGAUUCUUGGGAUAGCGGGCUAGACGGCACUUCACACUGGCUUUUGGGGCCACAUAGGGGUGUAACAUGUUAUCACUCUGCACAACCCCAGAGGGUACCACACACAACCCAUUUGACCAAACAUGGCAGUCCUGAAAGGAAUGAUGAUUGAAAGCCAAGACUGAGCUUUGGCAAGGAAACCACCUCUGGAUUACCAACUCAUUGUCUAUAAUGUAGUGAUAGCAUCUACCUCUUAGUAAUUUUGUGAACAUUAAAUGAAUAAAGCAUGAGAAAAAGCCU